RNAcentral lists this ribosomal RNA (253 nucleotides) under uncultured bacterium. RNAcentral's name for it is "partial 16S ribosomal RNA". It matches the Rfam family "Bacterial small subunit ribosomal RNA", at positions 524 to 776 of the family's 1533-position model. The record is from RNAcentral.
UACAGAGGUGGCAAGCGUUGUUCGGAAUUACUGGGCGUAAAGGGCGCGUAGGCGGCCUUGUCAGUCAGACGUGAAAUCCCCAGGCUUAACCUGGGAACUGCGUCUGAUACUACAAGGCUUGAGUGCGGGAGAGGGAUGUGGAAUUCCAGGUGUAGCGGUGAAAUGCGUAGAUAUCAGGAGGAAUACCGGUGGCGAAGGCGGCCUUCUGGACGGUGACUGACGCUGAGACGCGAAAGCGUGGGGAGCAAACAGG